Molecule: ribosomal RNA, 188 nt
Filed under: Enterobacter roggenkampii
Lineage: Bacteria; Pseudomonadati; Pseudomonadota; Gammaproteobacteria; Enterobacterales; Enterobacteriaceae
Description: partial 23S ribosomal RNA
Source: RNAcentral
GGUUAAGCGACUAAGCGUACACGGUGGAUGCCCUGGCAGUCAGAGGCGAUGAAGGACGUGCUAAUCUGCGAAAAGCGCCGGCGAGGUGAUAUGAACCUUUGACCCGGCGAUGUCCGAAUGGGGAAACCCAGUGUGWUYCGWCACACUAUCGUUAACUGAAUACAUAGGUUAACGAGGCGAACCGGGGG